GGACUACAAGGGUUUCUAAUCCUGUUUGCUCCCCACGCUUUCGCGCCUCAGCGUCAGUCUCGGUCCAGAGAGCCGCCUUCGCCACCGGUGUUCUUCCCAAUAUCUACGAAUUUCACCUCUACACUGGGAAUUCCACUCUCCUCUCCCGAACUCUAGCCCCUCAGUCCCAAGCGCAAUUCCCAGGUUAAGCCCGGGGCUUUCACGCCUGACUUGAGUGGCCGCCUGCGCGCCCUUUACGCCCAGUAAUUCCGAACAACGCUCGCCCCCUUCGUAUUACCGCGGCGGCUGGCAC
This 292-nucleotide ribosomal RNA is filed under the name uncultured bacterium. Its description in RNAcentral is "partial 16S ribosomal RNA". RNAcentral also lists the same sequence under 1 other name. The record is from RNAcentral.